RNAcentral lists this RNase P RNA (366 nucleotides) under Ligilactobacillus ruminis. RNAcentral's name for it is "Bacterial RNase P class B". It matches the Rfam family "Bacterial RNase P class B". Rfam says of the family: Ribonuclease P (RNase P) is a ubiquitous endoribonuclease, found in archaea, bacteria and eukarya as well as chloroplasts and mitochondria. Its best characterised activity is the generation of mature 5'-ends of tRNAs by cleaving the 5'-leader elements of precursor-tRNAs. Lineage: Bacteria; Bacillati; Bacillota; Bacilli; Lactobacillales; Lactobacillaceae. The record is from RNAcentral.
UUUCGGGUAAUCGCGGUCUAUUUUUAUAGGCUGAGGAAAGUCCAAGCUUGCACAAGCUGAGAUGCUUGUAGUGAUCGUGCUUGCUGAAAAAAUAAGGCAAGGUACCUUAAUUGGUAACGGCAGAUAAAAAGGCUAAAGCGUAUGCCAUGCCUGAGUAGUCUUGAAAAGUGCCACAGUGACGAAGCAGUUAUGGAAACGUAGCUGGUGGAACGAGGUAAACCCCGCGAGCAGGUAACCCAAACUUUGGUAGGGGCGCUUCAUGACGGAAAUGAACAAAUCAUGGGGGCGAGUUUUUAACUCGGAGAUAGAUGAUUACCACCGAUUUCGGAUUCCUGAACCGAAUGACGUACGGAACGUGGCUUAUAG